AAAGAAACGAAAAACAAAACAUAAAUCAUGGAUCAAUUAAGCCCUCUCGGGGACUUGCUUAAGAAUGAGAAAGAGGAAUCUUAUGUAAAUACCACAGAAUAAGGUUUGGUCCUAUUCAUGGGGAUUCUGUAACUAUUCCAUUCCAAAAAGAUAAAAAAUUCAAAAGAAUUGGGAUUUUUUGGAGAUUGGAUGCAGUUACUAAUUCAUGAA
RNAcentral lists this long non-coding RNA (210 nucleotides) under Phaseolus vulgaris (common bean). Its description in RNAcentral is "long non-coding RNA (PVUL_LNC004010)". Lineage: Eukaryota; Viridiplantae; Streptophyta; Magnoliopsida; Fabales; Fabaceae. The record is from RNAcentral.